Long non-coding RNA from Egretta garzetta (little egret), 633 nucleotides. RefSeq lists it as uncharacterized. NCBI's taxonomy places the organism in Eukaryota, Metazoa, Chordata, Aves, Pelecaniformes, Ardeidae. The record is from RefSeq and is a predicted model, not a curated record. The transcript has 4 exons.
CGCCUUCCCACCUGGCUCCCGGUGCUGCCCAGAGGGAAGAUGGCAUCAUGGAUGGGUCUGCCUUCCCAGCAAGACUGGUGGUCUUGGAGAUGAAGACACGGAGACGCUCGCAGAUGCACGACUGACAUCCCCAAGCAACGAUUUAUCAGUUCAUGACUUGCUUCACAUGCAACGCCAAGUCCAGAGCAAAGACAAACAACCACGGACCAAACCUCACGCCUCUCUAGCUAACGUGGUCCACGCAGGAGCUAACGGCGACCACGGAAACAAUAUUUUCAUCGCGUGGAUUAACCCCUCGGCUAUGGCAUGGUUGCCUGCAAGCGUGAGGAGAGCCACGUCCAUGGCUUGUCCUGCAGAUCUGAGCCUCCAGGAGCCCAGACCCUUCCUGUAGCUGUGUGCAUAGCCUGGCAGCGCGUCCAAAGAGGGAAGCACUGCCACCCCCACGUUACAGCCAGGAUUACGAAGCUCAUGCCUUUGUCUACAAUGCCCUAAGAAGACCGCAAGAGCAAACUGCCACCCGACCUAGAAAGAAACAGCAGCACCUUGUCCAUGCCCUAAGCAAUGCUGGUACGAGAGCUCAGAACGAUGCUCAAGCAGCUCCUCGAGCAGCAGGUAAAUCUCUUCACUCCCUAC